Molecule: long non-coding RNA, 329 nt
Filed under: Ananas comosus (pineapple)
Lineage: Eukaryota; Viridiplantae; Streptophyta; Magnoliopsida; Poales; Bromeliaceae
Description: long non-coding RNA (ACOM_LNC008133)
Source: RNAcentral
AACAUUCAAAUUCUAGUUACCAACCAUAUUAGUGCACCGACCGUCCCUAGAGCAAGUGGUAAAAAAUUUAGUGAUUGAUAUCCGAGGUUCCAAGUUCGAAUUCUAAUUGAUUCACAUUUUCAGCUAAAUUUAUUUCUAAAUGAAAUAAAUAAAGCGGGUAGCGUACUAUCUCUCUCAAAAAAAAAAAAAAAAAAAACCAUAUUAGUGCAGUUGUCCGACGGUUAAAAUAGUUGGUAUCCAAAGUUUCAAGUUCAAAACCUAAUUACAACACAUUUCUAGUUAGGUUUAUUCUCAUAAAAAAAAUAAACAAAGCGAGUAAAUCGCUACCU